CGCGUAGGUGGUUUGUUAAGUUGGAUGUGAAAGCCCCGGGCUCAACCUGGGAACUGCAUCCAAAACUGGCAAGCUAGAGUACGGUAGAGGGUGGUGGAAUUUCCUGUGUAGCGGUGAAAUGCGUAGAUAUAGGAAGGAACACCAGUGGCGAAGGCGACCACCAGGACUGAUACUGACACUGAGGUGCGAAAGCGUGGGAGCAAACA
RNAcentral lists this ribosomal RNA (206 nucleotides) under uncultured bacterium. RNAcentral's name for it is "partial 16S ribosomal RNA". It matches the Rfam family "Bacterial small subunit ribosomal RNA", at positions 568 to 774 of the family's 1533-position model. The record is from RNAcentral.